CGGCGUGCACUGUCGGUCGGCGGCUAAGGAGGGGAGGCACCUGCAUCUGGGGCGCGGCGAAUCCUCGCGUGCGCCAGGCCGCCUGGGGUAGUCGCCGAGACUGCGCCGGCCAGCGGGGCCGAAACCUAAUCAGGAGCUGAGCUUUGAUGGCGGCUUCUGGAGGGACAAAGAAGGCGCAGAGCGGUGGGAGGAGGCUGCGAGAACCUAGCUCCCGCCCCAGCCGACGUGCGAGACAAAGGCCCCGGCGCGGGGCUCUUCGGAAGGCCGGGAGGUUCCUGUGACAAUGCGAGUCUGCGCCCCACGCUCCCGCACCGUGAUGCCGAGGCCAAAUGGCUAGAGUGGGCCCAGGCAUCAGCAUUUCUGUUUGGCAGCCGGGCAGUUGUGGUGCACGUUUUGAGGAACUACUAAAGCCUGCCUGUGAUGAAAAAGGCAAAAGCUGACUUCACCAAAAUUACUCCCAGGGAGACUUCUGCAUUUGGCUGGAAGGACAUUUGAGUAAACCGCUGAGGCUGGUGGUUGAAACAUAAUCCUCUAAGGGAGAUCGGUUCCGAUACCCUGAGUUAGGGACGCUUGCCUGGGCAGAGCUAAGGGGAGAAUGAUCAAAAGCCAAGCUCUGUCCCCGUCAGCACGUCACCCUCCCUCACUGUAAUCCCUGACUGUUUUCUCUAAAUGAAGAAUUAUUUAGAGAAUAUAAAUUAGAAGGGCCGCCACGUCAGAAUUGCCUGAGUGGGAGCAGUCUUUCCAGCCUCGAAAAAUGUUUAAACAAUAUGCAGAUGACCUAGCACAAAUAAAGAAUGCUAGCAACCGCUGUUAUGUGUGAGCGGUGGAAUUGGGAGGGCUCUUCCCCCAAUCUUCAUCAAACAGAGUAAGGUUUAGAAUAAAAAUAAUGAAAUACAGUCUUUCAAAAAGAGCAGCGCUUGACUAAUGUUACUGAUGUCACUCAUGUUACUCAAGGGAGGAAAGAACUCAAACUCUACAUAAUAAUACCCACUGAUUUCAAGGGCUGGCACGGAGAAUUAAGCAGACCGCCAUUCUUUAUAUUUGUUUUUUUGUUGUUGUUUGCUUAUGAUUUUUUUCUUUCUUUUUUUUUUUUUUUUUUUGAGAAGGGGUCUCGCACUGUCACCCAGGCAGGAAUGCAGUGGCGCGAUAAUGGCUCACUGCAAUCUCACUAUAUUGACCAGUAUGAUUUUCAACUCCUGUCUUUAAGCGAUCCUCACGCUUCGGCCUCCCAAAGUGCUGGGGUUACAGACAUGUGCCACUAUGCCCUGCCUAAAUAUGUUUAUAUAUACUACCGCCAAAGAAACAAUUUGAAGACGAUCUUUCCCCAGCCCCUCUCCUUCUGAUCCAACUCCAAGAGCUCACCCUCCCUGUAAGACCUGUAGCAGAGCACGUAUUGGCCUGCUGAUACUAGGGGCAAAGACCGGGCCGAUCAGAUGUUACAUGGCAUAAGGGCGAAGGAUUCUGAAAGAAAGACUGAGACUUGCUGGAGGAAGUACUAGUAGUGCCAAGGGCAGGUAUGUGACCCUCGGAGCUGCAGAGCCAGGAACUCAACUGUUAGGCAGAAGGGAGGAAUGUACUGUUGAUAUGGACAGACUCCAAGAAGGGGAGGGACUGCUGGGACUACUAGAACGAGAAUGCCUCUGCCCCUAUGGCUCAGCUCUGCAACUCUCUCUGCACAUUGGCUUCAUGCUGUUAGACCAGCUUCCUCCAUAUGUCUGGAAACAAGGCCACUGACAGCUCCCAACAUUUCAUCUUCUGCCUCAUCAUCAGACAGGCGAGUGCAGUGGCAUAAUCUCGGCUCACUGCAACCUUUGCCUCCUGGGUUCAAGCAAAAACUGGAAUGAUGCAGCUUCAGGCCAAGGAAUGCUGGCAGCCACCAGAAGCUGAAGGACACAAGGAAUGGAUUCUCAGAGCCUCGGCAGGAAAUGUGGCCCUGCCAACACCUUGAUUUCAGACUUCUCAACUCCAGUACUGGGAGGGAAUAAAUUUCUGUUGUUUUAAGCCUCCCAGUUUGUGAUAAUUUGCUACAGCAGCCACAGGAAGCAAAUAAGGAGGGCCUAUUUGGAGGAGGAUGCAAACCCAGCAGUGGGUGAUGAACUAUUCUUACUUACAGCUACCUUAUUCAUUACUAGUCUAGACUUAAGCAUUGACUUCAUCACUGAAAAGGCUGCAGCUGAGCCUAGAGUUUCAGGUUCCUGUGCUGCAUAUGGCUACAGUGAUUCUUAGGUCAGCUCCCUAGGAUGCAGUUGAGUCUCUCUCUAACUGAUGAGUCUCUUUAAAUAUACAGUUGGGGCUGGGUGCGGUGGCUCACACCUCUAAUCCUAGCACUUUUGGAGGUU
Molecule: long non-coding RNA, 2339 nt
Filed under: Homo sapiens (human)
Lineage: Eukaryota; Metazoa; Chordata; Mammalia; Primates; Hominidae
Description: HSALNT0325188
Source: RNAcentral